Molecule: ribosomal RNA, 400 nt
Filed under: Pristimantis inguinalis group sp. ABGD cluster 146
Lineage: Eukaryota; Metazoa; Chordata; Amphibia; Anura; Strabomantidae
Description: partial large subunit ribosomal RNA
Rfam family: Bacterial large subunit ribosomal RNA
Source: RNAcentral
CAUCGCCUCUUGCAACCAUAAGAGGUCCAGCCUGCCCAGUGAUCUAAUUCAACGGCCGCGGUAUCCUAACCGUGCAAAGGUAGCGUAAUCACUUGUUUUCUAAAUAAAGACUAGUAUGAAAGGCAUCACGAGGACUUAACUGUCUCCUUUCUCCAAUCAGUGAACCUAAUCUUCCCGUGAAAAAGCGGGAAUACACCUAUAAGACGAGAAGACCCUGUGGAGCUUUAAACAUAAUAACACCUGCCACCAUCUCUAACAACCCCGGUACCUCCUUCAAGCGGCACCCUGAUUAUAUGUUUUUGGUUGGGGCGGCCGCGGAGAAAAACUCAUCCUCCGCAAUGAACGGGACUUCUUCCUUAAACAAUAAGUCACAACUUUACGUAUUAAAAAAUUAACAUUC